This 256-nucleotide long non-coding RNA is filed under the name Lathyrus oleraceus (garden pea). RNAcentral describes it as "Pisum sativum (pea) long non-coding RNA (PSAT_LNC012718)". Lineage: Eukaryota; Viridiplantae; Streptophyta; Magnoliopsida; Fabales; Fabaceae. The record is from RNAcentral.
AUUUGGCCAAAUUUGGUGGGGUUUUUUCCUACAAGUCACAUUUAACCUCCUCUUUCCAAAAAUGUAACUUUCAUGUGCCAAAACUCUAUGGAUCAAAAUGGCCCUUUUUGAACUUACAUGUUUAUUUUCAAGUGUAGUGAAAAUUUGAGUUUUUGAAUUAAGCAUUUUUAAACCAUUUGGCCAAUUGGAAUUGAUUUAAAAUGAUAAUUGGAACUUGCCCAAAGCCCAAAUUCGUGCAGAACAUGCACCUCCUUAC